UACGAAUGGGGCUAGCGUUGCUCGGAAUCACUGGGCGUAAAGGGUGCGUAGGCGGGUCUUUAAGUCAGGGGUGAAAUCCUGGAGCUCAACUCCAGAACUGCCUUUGAUACUGAAGAUCUUGAGUUCGGGAGAGGUGAGUGGAACUGCGAGUGUAGAGGUGAAAUUCGUAGAUAUUCGCAAGAACACCAGUGGCGAAUGCGGCUCACUGGCCCGAUACUGACGCUGAGGCACGAAAGCGUGGGGAGCAAACAGG
RNAcentral lists this ribosomal RNA (253 nucleotides) under uncultured bacterium. RNAcentral's name for it is "partial 16S ribosomal RNA". It matches the Rfam family "Bacterial small subunit ribosomal RNA", at positions 524 to 776 of the family's 1533-position model. The record is from RNAcentral.